RNAcentral lists this long non-coding RNA (720 nucleotides) under Marmota monax (woodchuck). The record is from RNAcentral. Lineage: Eukaryota; Metazoa; Chordata; Mammalia; Rodentia; Sciuridae.
GGCUAUGAACAUGUGAUCUUCUUGCCUCAGCCUCCAGAAAUGCUGAAACUACAGGUGUUUGCAAUGACGCCCGGCCCAGCCCUUUUUAUUUUGAGACGGGAUCUUCCCUAGGUUCUCCAGCUGGUCAAUGAACUUUACCACUGAGCCACAUCGCCAGCCCUUUUUUAUAUUUUAUUUCAAGACAGGGCCUCACCGAAUUGCUCAGGGCCUUGCUAAAUUUCUGAGGCUGACUUUGAACUGGUGAUCCUUCUGCCUGAUCUGUCUGCUGAUGCCCUGCUUAAAAAGGUACCUUACAUCCCUAAAUCUACAUAAUUAGACUAAGAAAGCUUGGGGGAGGAGGAAAAUAAGUGUUAGGAGUGACCAGGAAAAAAAAAAAAAAAAGACAGCUAAAAAUGGUAGAUUUAAAUUUUUAAAUUGCAUUUAUCAAAUUAAGAAUUUAUUCAGGUGCUUAUCAUCAGUGGAUGUUAAAACCAUCAUGUGAUAAUUUCUUGGGAAACAGGACAGUGAGAGGAUAUGAAAGUAACACUCCAGAUUGUUUAAUUAACAAUUGGGGAAGUGGUAAAAUUUUGAUGGAGAAACUUAGUGGAUAUCAUACUUAACCAAGUGAUCACUUUAUCAUCACCAAUAAUGCAACAAACUAAAAUGACGUAGUGUGGCAAGUACAACAUAUAACCCAUGACUUAUGCAUACCCAAACCGUUCAACUUUUAUCUAAUCUGAG